CAAAGAAUAGUUUAAUCCAGAAUCCUAGCUUUGGGGGCUAGGGAUGGGAGUUCGAAUCUCUCUUCUUUGA
Molecule: transfer RNA, 70 nt
Filed under: Pseudogramma paucilepis (Weakscaled podge)
Lineage: Eukaryota; Metazoa; Chordata; Actinopteri; Perciformes; Serranidae
Description: tRNA-Pro
Rfam family: tRNA
About the family: Transfer RNA (tRNA) molecules are approximately 80 nucleotides in length. Their secondary structure includes four short double-helical elements and three loops (D, anti-codon, and T loops).
Source: RNAcentral